RNAcentral lists this ribosomal RNA (517 nucleotides) under Guibemantis rianasoa. RNAcentral describes it as "partial 16S ribosomal RNA". It matches the Rfam family "Bacterial large subunit ribosomal RNA", at positions 1912 to 2597 of the family's 2925-position model. The record is from RNAcentral. Lineage: Eukaryota; Metazoa; Chordata; Amphibia; Anura; Mantellidae.
CCAGUGACAAAUUUAACGGCCGCGGUACCCUAACCGUGCGAAGGUAGCAUAAUCACUUGUUCUUUAAAUAAGGACUUGUAUCAACGGCAUCACGAGGGUUAAACUGUCUCCUUUUUCAUAUCAGUGAAACUAAUCUCCCCGUGAAGAAGCGGGGGUAAUAAUAUAAGACGAGAAGACCCCAUGGAGCUUUAAACCCAACUACACCCCCCUUAACUUUACCUCUAAACCUCCGGGGGUCUGUGUGUUCUGGUUUUAGGUUGGGGUGACCACGGAGCAUAAACCAACCUCCAUAAUGAAUAGAUUUCAUCUUUAUCCAAGACUCACACAUCUAAGAAUUAGCAUUCUAACAUAAAAUGAUCCGAUAUUCGAUCAACGAACCAAGUUACCCUGGGGAUAACAGCGCAAUCCAUUUCAAGAGCUCCUAUCGACAAAUGGGUUUACGACCUCGAUGUUGGAUCAGGGUAUCCUAGUGGUGCAGCAGCUACUAAAGGUUCGUUUGUUCAACGAUUAAAACCCU